RNAcentral lists this ribosomal RNA (492 nucleotides) under uncultured bacterium. RNAcentral describes it as "partial 16S ribosomal RNA". It matches the Rfam family "Bacterial small subunit ribosomal RNA", at positions 29 to 507 of the family's 1533-position model. The record is from RNAcentral.
AGUGAACGCUGGCGGUAGGCCUAACACAUGCAAGUCGAACGGCAGCACAGUAAGAGCUUGCUCUUACGGGUGGCGAGUGGCGGACGGGUGAGGAAUACAUCGGAAUCUACUUUUUCGUGGGGGAUAACGUAGGGAAACUUACGCUAAUACCGCAUACGACCUACGGGUGAAAGCAGGGGAUCUUCGGACCUUGCGCGAUUGAAUGAGCCGAUGUCGGAUUAGCUAGUUGGCGGGGUAAAGGCCCACCAAGGCGACGAUCCGUAGCUGGUCUGAGAGGAUGAUCAGCCACACUGGAACUGGGACACGGUCCAGACUCCUACGGGAGGAAGCAGUGGGGAAUAUUGGACAAUGGGCGCAAGCCUGAUCCAGCCAUACCGCGUGGGUGAAGAAGGCCUUCGGGUUUUAAAGCCCUUUUGUUGGGAAAGAAAAGCAGCAGGUUAAUACCCCGCUGUUCUGACGGUACCCAAAGAAUAAGCACCGGCUAACUUCGUG